Long non-coding RNA from Hemibagrus wyckioides, 6468 nucleotides. RefSeq lists it as uncharacterized. Lineage: Eukaryota; Metazoa; Chordata; Actinopteri; Siluriformes; Bagridae. The transcript is spliced from 3 exons. The record is from RefSeq and is a predicted model, not a curated record.
GUUUGGGUUGUACCAAGUCCUUUUGUGCUAGUACUUAGUGCAUUAGUUAACCGUGCUAAUAACGGCCAUAUCGCUGCCACAUGAAUAAUAUUUACAGAUAUUAAACCCUAAGUGCUAAAAGUGUUUUAGGCUAAUUGUUACAUUACAACUAAACAUUUCAUACUUCGUUGUUAUGGAAACCGAGCGGCCGAGCAAGAUACACCAGGGUUUGAUUCACCCAACAGACCGUUUCCUCUUUGUCUCUGGUCUGAUACACAAUGCUUCAGUUUACAACUCUCUCUGUGUUUCUCUGUGUCAUGGGUUUGCUCUCAGAGACUCUGAGCUCUUUAACUUUGGAGGCAGAAGCUGGAGAUAACGUCACUAUUUGGUGCCAACAUGAUCUGAAAUGGUCGGAUAAAAUUUUCUGGUUUAAACACACAGGUGAUUCAGUAAAGAUCAUCAAAUAAAAAUUCAUUAAAUAUGACCUUUGGGGAAACAAAAUUCCUAGGCUGCUUACAUACUGUAAAGUUAAAAGAGACUGUUUUCAUGAGCCCACUGGUGCAAACACAGACCAGCUAGCCGAAGACAGACGGAAGAAUGCCGACUGAUAUGCUGAGCUAGUAAGACUCAUAGAUGAUAAAAGCCUAUCCCUGAUAAGACAUGAAGCUGCUGAUAAUGGCAGGAAAGCCAGGAGAAUUCUGAAAGACCAUUAUUUGGGGAAAAGCAAACCACGUAUAAUAAAUAUGUAAACAUCGUUAACCAAGCUACGCAUGGCGGACAAUGAGAGUGUUACUGACUACUUAAUAAGAGCAGAGAACAUCAUCACAGCCGUUGGAGAUGCAGGAGAAGCCAUGAGUGAUGGGCUGACAAAAACUCUGAUUCUUAGCAGAUUACCAGACUCUUUCAAGCCGCUAGCUGUCCACAUAAUGCAAAAUGAGGACAAUUUUACAUUCACAGACUUUAAAAGAAGACUACGGAUCUAUGAGGAGUUGGAGAAGAUGAAAAAGAACAGAAUCUACAGACAAUGUGAUGAAAGCACACAGGAGACAGAGACGAGGCCCUAACAAGUUACACACUAACAACAGAUAAGAUGAAGAUACCAGUGUGACAUGUUACAAAUGUGGAAUAAAAAGACACAAAGCAAGAAAAUGUUUCGGAAAAGUGUGGUGCAAUCACUGCAAAAAUGGUACACAUGCACAAUCCCUGUGCAAGAACAGGACGGUGCCAGAAAAGUUGCAGACAAACAAGAUAGCGACCAAGACCAUUUCUAAGAACACAUAGAAAAUGGAAUGGACCACUGGAAUGGACCUCCGGACAACAUAAAAAUGAAAGGCAUCAUCAUAGACAUGGGAGUGACGUCCCAUAACAUGAACGACAUCAGAAAGCUUCAACAGUUUGUUCCAGCCAGAGACUCAUUCAGUGGAGUUAGCUGAUGGGACAAAGUGCAGCGAAAUGGUGCAACAAAGAGGAAUGGCAGUGAUUUAUCUCCUAGACAUCACUGGACGAUUCCACAGAGCACAGCUAUUGGACGCACUGUACAUGCCUUCGUACCCACAUGACAUUUUCUCAGUGGCAAGGGCAACAAAUAGAGGACCAACAAUCAAUUUCGUAAAUGGGGAAAAGUCACAUGGUUCCCAAAGGUGGUAGCAGGUUUGACAUCCAUGAGAAUGGAAAUUUGUAUGGGAAUAUUGACCAGUGAAAAGUGUGUCAUGACUUUCAAACUUGGCAUGAAAUUUUGGGUCAUUGUACUAAUGAACAUUUACAAAAGUUACAAGGUGUAGUGAGAAGUAUGGAGAUAAAAGGGACCACAGUCAAACCAAAUCAGUCAUGUGAAGUGUGUACACAAGGAAAAUUCACUCAGACAAGAAAUAAGGAGCCAGACAGAAAGGCAAAGGAACCCUUAGAACUAGUCCCCACUGACUUAGCUAGCCCCAUGCCAACAUUGAGCACAGAAGGGUACAAAUAUACACAGUCUUUUACAGAAGACUACUCAGGUACCAUGUUAGUGUAUUUUCUGAAGUCUAAGGGUGACACGAUACAAGCCACUGAAAAGUUCCUAGCAGACAUAGCACCUUAUGGAGAAGUUAAGUGCAUCCGUUCAGAUAGCGUACUAAAUUUAUGAGUCGAGACUUUCAGGCACUGUUAACGAAAAAUAGGAUUAGACAACGAAACGUCUGCACCUUAUUCGCCCCACCAAAAUGCCACAACAGAGAGAGGUUGGAGAACCCUUUAUGAUAUGAGCAGGUGCCUACUGAUUGAAAGCAAGUUACCAGAUAAGUUAUAGAACUACGCUCUGCAGACAUCAGCUUACGUGAGGAACAGGUGCUAUAGUAGACGCACCAAGAAAACUCCAUACAAGUUGACUCACAGGAAAGAAGCCAGACAUUACUAAAAUGCAGAAAUUCGGAUCAAUAUGUUUUGCUUACAAACAAGAGAGGGGCAAAUUAAACUCUGGAUGUGAGCAAGGUAUUUUCAUUGGCUACGACAAAAACAGCCCAGCUUAUCCAGUGUUCUAUCCUAACACAGAGAAGGUCCAAAAGCGUAGGUUGGUGAGGUUCACAGCUAGGACAACUAAAGAAAGGGAAACACAAACACCCGAAUCACACACACAAUAUGGAGAGUUAUAUCCUAAGAUCAAUAGCAGUGAAGGAAAUGCUGAUGAAAAUGUGAAAAAUGUACCAGGUCAAGGUAUUCAAAGUGGUGUUUCUGAGACUUUGCCUGAAAAGACUGAAUGCACACAGCCAGGUAAAGUUACUGAAACUGUAAUUAGAAGGAACCCACCAAGAGCCAGGAGGAGGCCAGCUCAUCUACUUGAGACUGAGGAUAUGGAGGACAAGCUGCAAACAUGCAUAGACUUUUGUUACAAUGUUAUAAUAUAUGCGAUAUUCCUCAAACCUACUAGGAUACUGUAGCAUCAACCAAAUCAAGGCAAUGGAAAAAUGCCGUGGACAAAAAGAUGCAAUCAGUAGAGGAGAAUAAGUCACACUCACUUAGUUGUCACCAGGCAAACAGCAGAUGGGGGCAGAUGGAGCUACACAAUUAAAAGAGACAUUGAUGGAUCAGAAAAAUACAAGGCAAGAUUUGUUGCAAAGGCUACAGUCAGAAACCAGGAACUGACUAUGUCUAGGAGACAUUCUCACCCACAGCUGAUGUGAUAAGAGUGGUCAUGCAGAAGGCAGCACAAGACAAUUUAGUCAUAGUCACAAAAUUUAGAGACAGCUUAUUUGUGUGAGCCGAUUGACUGUGAAAUUUACAUGGAACAACCAGAGAGUUAUGAAAAAAAAGUCAGAGACGGGUGAAAAGCUAGUAUGCAAGUUAGAGAAAUCUCUCUAUGGCCUAAAGCAAUCAGGCAGAAACUGGAACGCUAUCGUACAUAUAUGUUUCAUUAAGAAUGGUUUUCCACAAAACCCAGCUGAUAACUGUGUGUACACAAGGGAAAGAUAUAAUGAAAAAAUGUGGGUUGAUGACCUGAUUAUAGCAGCUAACAGUAAAAGUGGUCUUAAAAAGCAUAAAGGGAAUGUUCACUGAAAGAUUCAAAAUGAAAGAAAUAAAUGUGGAGGUUGAAGUAUUUUCUAGGGAUAGAUUUUGAACAAGCAGAAGGUCUAGUUAAAAUGUCACAAGAGAGACAUGUGAGGAAAAUAGUAGAUAGAUUUGAGAUGCAAAAUUGCAAGUCUAGAGAGACUUCAUGUGAACUGAAACUUAUUCAGAAUAUGCUGAAAGAAUGAAAGAGCCAAGAAAGUACAGGGAUGCAGUAUGAAGUUUAAUCUACUUGUCCACUUGCACUCGACCAGAUAUAUGUUUUGUGGUCAGUAAAUUAUCCCAGCACUUUGCUGAACCUACAAAACAACACUGGAACACAGUAAAACACGUGUUCAGAUACCUCAAAGGUACAGCAGAAUGUAUGCUUCAAGAGAAAUGACAGAGAAACUAGUACUUCAGGAUACUGUGUCAGCCUAAGUGAAGGUAGUUCUUUGGUCUCAUAGAAAACUAGAAAACGGCCAACAGUAACAUAAUCUACUUGCAAAGCAGAAUACAUGUCCUUAGCAUCAGCCAUACAGGAAUGUAUCUGCUGAAAGGUAUGGAUACAUACCUAUAUGCAGAAACAAAAGUGUAUGAAGACAACCAAGGUACAAUAGCACUAGCCAGAAACCCAGUUUAUAGGCAAAGGUGCAAGCACUUUGACAUCAAGUACCACUUUAUAAAGGAAACUGUGAAUGAUGGCAAGGUAAUCUUGGAAUACUGUCCUACAGAGCAAAUGGUUGCUGACAUUAUGACAAAGCCAGCCACUAAGCUAAAGAUAAAGAGGUUUGCUCAAGACAUGUUUGGCACUUAAUAGUGUAAAGAGUGUAUGUUUACAUUGUUUAUGUGAAAGAGAAGCCUUAUUUGUUAUUUUGUUUUCAGGUAACUCAGUGAGCUAAGAGUGAGUGGGGGUGUUAAGUGUUGUACUCUUACUCAUUAGAUUACGGCAUCAGCUGAACUACAUCGUGUUUUAUUAAAGGUAUUAUGGUACAUUUGGGUGUGAAGUCAUUACGUUAUACAAUGCACUAUACAUAAAAAAAUAAAGUGUUCAUGUCAGAUGUACAGAGCCAGCUUUCUAAAUAAAUGUUCCAAAGAAUUGGAUAAUGAGACGUGUAACAUUUUGUUAGUUUUCUUACACGUGUUGAAAAGAACUGUGUACCUGAACUUAACACUGAUGUUUCUGAUGGUCUGUAUUUAAAGGAGUUCUACUAUUCAAUAAAUCACAUUUACAGACUUAGUAUUAUUGUAUAACCGCAAGCAUUUUAGGAUUCUUUACAUUUCUUUUUUGAAUUUACUUUUAUCAAGUCUCUUAGUUUAUUAUCCAGUGUAUUCAUGGGCAGAUUGGUAGAUUUGGGUGUUUGGUUGUUGUGCCUAUUUAGAUAACAGGUUUGUAAAGGCUCUGGAAAUAAAAAACUGCUGUUUGUGGCAUUAAUGAUGAUAUUGUGUGAUGAUAAACUAAUGAUGUGACCGCUGAUAAAAUGAGCAGUCUGGUUAGAAUACUCAGUUAGAGUGUAUACAUCCUUAUUAUAUCUCCUGUGUUCUGUAUACCAGUUCUGUACAUAAUGUCUGAUGCUCUUUCACUCUGAUAGAGUCUAGAGUCAGUAUUUACAGACACUGAACAGCUCUGAGCUGAUGAACAGCAUGGCCUUAUACCAGCACUCAUGAAGCACUGUUCACUCACUCAAAUUAGUGGACCACAACUACUUGCUGUAUAAUGAUGUUUCUGUCACUGUGGCUGGUUUACAGCAGGUAAAACUACACCUGAAUCACAGUGUGGACUGGAGUGUGAGAGGAUAAAACUACACCUGAAUCACAGUGUGGACUGGAGUGUGAGAGGAUAAAACUACACCUGAAUCACAGUGUGGACUGGAGUGUGAGAGGAUAAAACUACACCUGAAUCACAGUGUGGACUGGAGUGUGAGAGGAUACACACAGGACAUACCAUGACGUGAGGAUAAGUGUAACUGGUAACAGGACAAAGCACUGAAGUUAGAAUGUGUGAAAUAGGAGACACGAUCUAAACUGGACUUUAAUAUUGAUCAUAAAAAUAUUUAAUAUCAAAUAGAACCUGCAAAAGUAUUUAGAUAAAGUAAACAAAACAAGGACAAAAAAGCGGAAGUUGCUAAGGUGGUGAAAGUAACUAACUGGACACAUAUUUGCUACGACAUUUUUGUGAUAAGACUAACGUUUGCAUUUUUGUGUUAAUUUUCCUUUGCACUUUGUCUUUUAUUUUUGCAUGUUUCACUUUUUAUAUGAACAUGAAACAAAGACACAAAUCAAGGUUCAUAAAUAACUAAUAUUUAAACAGUUAAAUGACUAAAACACUUAGAGUGUAGCGGAAUAAAGUUCUCAGUGAACCCAAUAAACUGAGCUGGAGCUGCUGCAUGAUCACCAACACAUGAGGAAUAUCAUCACCUGAGGGUUUAAUCACUGAUCUUAAUGAUCUUAACUGAUCUCUAAUCUUCUGAAGAACCUCACAGUAAAGUUAGUUCCUGUUAAAUCUCACUGAAACUAAUCUUAAACACACACGUUGCCGGAGUCAGUAAGGGACCGUCUAAAAAGUGCAUGACAUGACAUGACAGGUCUAGUCAUCUAACUGUUAUAUUAGACUAGAAAUGCAGUAUUGAUACUGUACAGUGCCUUAAUACAAGUGUAAUAUUACUCUUACAUAAAAACUCUUACAGGAAAAGUAAAUCAUGAAUUUCAUAAAUGAAGAAAUUCAGGGAUGUAGAUUUUAACUUGUACAUAGUGUUAUAAGAAAUAUUACACAAUAAUUGCAGUAUGAGCUCAGUAAUAAAUCAUAUUAUACAAAUGGAUUUAUUGAAGGUUGCAGCAGGUCCUCGGUGGGAUGUUUGAUUUACAUUAAGUGCAAUAUAAUAUUAAACAUUUACAGUACAGUAAAACUUUAUUUUUCUAAAACAGAAGUUAGUACUCAGGGGUAUGACUACAAGUGUAAUGUCACAUAAAUGU